GCGUUUAUAGUCCAACUGGUUAGGAUAAUUGCCUUCCAAGCAAUAGACCCGGGUUCAACUCCCGGCAAACGCA
Molecule: transfer RNA, 73 nt
Filed under: Ipomoea nil (Japanese morning glory)
Lineage: Eukaryota; Viridiplantae; Streptophyta; Magnoliopsida; Solanales; Convolvulaceae
Rfam family: tRNA
About the family: Transfer RNA (tRNA) molecules are approximately 80 nucleotides in length. Their secondary structure includes four short double-helical elements and three loops (D, anti-codon, and T loops). Further hydrogen bonds mediate the characteristic L-shaped molecular structure. tRNAs have two regions of fundamental functional importance: the anti-codon, which is responsible for specific mRNA codon recognition, and the 3' end, to which the tRNAs corresponding amino acid is attached (by aminoacyl-tRNA synthetases). tRNAs cope with the degeneracy of the genetic code in two manners: having more than one tRNA (with a specific anti-codon) for a particular amino acid; and 'wobble' base-pairing, i.e. permitting non-standard base-pairing at the 3rd anti-codon position.
Source: Rfam by way of RNAcentral